GACGAACGCUGGCGGCACGCUUAACACAUGCAAGUCGAACGAGAGAAGAGAAGCUUGCUUUUCUGAUCUAGUGGCGGACGGGUGAGUAACACGUGAGCAAUCUGCCUUUCAGAGGGGGAUACCGAUUGGAAACGAUCGUUAAUACCGCAUAACAUAAUUAAACCGCAUGAUUUGAUUAUCAAAGAUUUAUCGCUGAAAGAUGAGCUCGCGUCUGAUUAGCUAGUUGGUAAGGUAACGGCUUACCAAGGCGACGAUCAGUAGCCGGACUGAGAGGUUGAUCGGCCACAUUGGGACUGAGACACGGCCCAGACUCCUACGGGAGGCAGCAGUGGGGAAUAUUGCACAAUGGAGGAAACUCUGAUGCAGCGAUGCCGCGUGAGGGAAGAAGGUUUUAGGAUUGUAAACCUCUGCCUUCAGGGACGAAAAAAGACGGUACCUGAGGAGGAAGCUCCGGCUAACUACGUG
This 465-nucleotide ribosomal RNA is filed under the name uncultured bacterium. Its description in RNAcentral is "partial 16S ribosomal RNA". It matches the Rfam family "Bacterial small subunit ribosomal RNA", at positions 28 to 507 of the family's 1533-position model. The record is from RNAcentral.